AUUGAACGCUGGCGGCAGGCCUAACACACGCAAGUCGAGCGGAUGAAGGGAGCUUGCUCCUGGAUUCAGCGGCGGACGGGUGAGUAAUGCCUAGGAAUCUGCCUGGUAGUGGGGGAUAACGUCCGGAAACGGGCGCUAAUACCGCAUACGUCCUGAGGGAGAAAGUGGGGGAUCUUCGGACCUCACGCUAUCAGAUGAGCCUAGGUCGGAUUAGCUAGUUGGUGGGGUAAAGGCCUACCAAGGCGACGAUCCGUAACUGGUCUGAGAGGAUGAUCAGUCACACUGGAACUGAGACACGGUCCAGACUCCUACGGGAGGCAGCAGUGGGGAAUAUUGGACAAUGGGCGAAAGCCUGAUCCAGCCAUGCCGCGUGUGUGAAGAAGGUCUUCGGAUUGUAAAGCACUUUAAGUUGGGAGGAAGGGCGGUAAGUUAAUACCUUGCUGUUUUGACGUUACCAACAGAAUAAGCACCGGCUAACUUCGUG
Molecule: ribosomal RNA, 484 nt
Filed under: uncultured bacterium
Lineage: Bacteria
Description: partial 16S ribosomal RNA
Rfam family: Bacterial small subunit ribosomal RNA
Source: RNAcentral